GCGGAAUGCUUUACACAUGCAAGUCGAACGGCAGCACGGACUUCGGUCUGGUGGCGAGUGGCGAACGGGUGAGUAAUGUAUCGGAACGUAUCCAGUAAUGGGGGAUAACUAAUCGAAAGGUUGGCUAAUACCGCAUACGCCCUACGGGGGAAAGCAGGGGAUCUUCGGACCUUGCGUUAAUGGAGCGGCCGAUAUCUGAUUAGCUAGUUGGUGAGGUAAGAGCUCACCAAGGCGACGAUCAGUAGCUGGUCUGAGAGGACGACCAGCCACACUGGAACUGAGACACGGUCCAGACUCCUACGGGAGGCAGCAGUGGGGAAUUUUGGACAAUGGGCGCAAGCCUGAUCCAGCCAUUCCGCGUGAGUGAAGAAGGCCUUCGGGUUGUAAAGCUCUUUCGCAGGGGAAGAAACGAUGCAGACGAAUAAUCUGUGUUAAUGACGGCACCUUGAUAAGAAGCACCGGCUAACUACGUGCCAGCAGCCGCGGUAAUACGUAGGGUGCAGGCGUUAAUCGGAAUUACUGGGCGUAAAGCGUGCGCAGGCGGUUUUGUAAGUCAGAUGUGAAAUCCCCGAGCUCAACUUGGGAACUGCGUUUGAAACUAC
This 602-nucleotide ribosomal RNA is filed under the name uncultured Methylotenera sp. RNAcentral's name for it is "bacterial SSU rRNA". It matches the Rfam family "Bacterial small subunit ribosomal RNA", at positions 39 to 636 of the family's 1533-position model. The record is from RNAcentral. Lineage: Bacteria; Pseudomonadati; Pseudomonadota; Betaproteobacteria; Nitrosomonadales; Methylophilaceae.